CAAGAAGUAGUUUAAUUAGAAUUUCAGCUUUGGGUGUUGAUGGUAGGGAGUGAUUCCUUCUUCUUGA
This 67-nucleotide transfer RNA is filed under the name Solomys ponceleti (Ponceleti's Solomys). RNAcentral's name for it is "tRNA-Pro". Lineage: Eukaryota; Metazoa; Chordata; Mammalia; Rodentia; Muridae. The record is from RNAcentral.